RNAcentral lists this long non-coding RNA (238 nucleotides) under Gossypium barbadense (sea-island cotton). RNAcentral's name for it is "long non-coding RNA (GBAR_LNC008094)". The record is from RNAcentral. Lineage: Eukaryota; Viridiplantae; Streptophyta; Magnoliopsida; Malvales; Malvaceae.
UAGCCCUCACAUUUUCACUUUUUGACAAUUUAGUCCCUAAUUCAUAAAACCACAAAAUACACUAAAUUUCUUUAAACAUAUGCUUGGCUGAAUAUUCCUAUAGCUCAUAGAAGCCCCCAUAUUUCAUUUAUUUUACAUUUUUGUCCCUCAAAAACUCAUUUUCACGAUUUAGUAUAUUUUACUUAAAUUCAUCUAAAAUUCAAAGACAAAAUAUACUAACCCAAAACAUAUAUUUCAU